CAAUAGCGUAUAUUAAAGUUGUUGCAGUUAAAAAGCUCGUAGUUGGAUUUCGGGGUGGCCUGCCUGGUCCACCGCAAGGUGAGUACUGGUCAGCCGCCCUUCCUCUCGAAAGCCCCGACUGCUCUUCAUUGCAGUGGUCGGGUAGUUCGGGACGUUUACUUUGAAAAAAUUAGAGUGUUCAAGGCAGGCUCUCGCCUGAAUACAUUAGCAUGGAAUAAUGGAAGAGGACCUCGGUCCUAUUUUGUUGGUUUCUAGGGCCGAAGUAAUGAUUAAGAGGGACAGUUGGGGGCAUUCGUAUUUAAUUGUCAGAGGUGAAAUUCUUGGAUUUAUGAAAGACGAACUAGUGCGAAAGCAUUUGCCAAGGAUGUUUUCAUUAA
Molecule: ribosomal RNA, 377 nt
Filed under: uncultured eukaryote
Lineage: Eukaryota
Description: partial 18S ribosomal RNA
Rfam family: Eukaryotic small subunit ribosomal RNA
Source: RNAcentral